RNAcentral lists this ribosomal RNA (279 nucleotides) under uncultured bacterium. RNAcentral's name for it is "partial 16S ribosomal RNA". It matches the Rfam family "Bacterial small subunit ribosomal RNA", at positions 506 to 784 of the family's 1533-position model. The record is from RNAcentral.
UGCCAGCCGCCGCGGUAAUACGGAGGGUGCAAGCGUUAUCCGGAUUUAUUGGGUUUAAAGGGUGCGUAGGCGGGAGAUUAAGUCAGUGGUGAAAGCCCACAGCUCAACUGUGGAACUGCCAUUGAUACUGAUCUUCUUGAAUGCGGUUGAAGUGGGCGGAAUAUGUCAUGUAGCGGUGAAAUGCUUAGAUAUGACAUAGAACACCUAUUGCGAAGGCAGCUCACUAAACCGUGAUUGACGCUGAGGCACGAAAGCGUGGGGAGCGAACAGGAUUAGAUA